GUCCUCUGAUGACUUCGUGUUAGUGCCACCUGUCCAGGCCACUGAGAACCCAUGAUGGAACUGAGGAUCUGAGGAA
Small nucleolar RNA from Chlorocebus sabaeus (green monkey), 76 nucleotides. It matches the Rfam family "Small nucleolar RNA SNORD66". From Rfam's summary of the family: snoRNA HBII-142 is part of the C/D family of snoRNAs. It is the human orthologue of the mouse MBII-142 snoRNA and is predicted to guide 2'O-ribose methylation of small 18S rRNA at residue C1272. The record is from Rfam. Lineage: Eukaryota; Metazoa; Chordata; Mammalia; Primates; Cercopithecidae.